UAUUCCCUGCUGUACGCGUCGGGUCAAGUUAUACUGAACCAACACAGUAUAUACGGGAGCUAAACUUUUAAAGCAUCUUUUGGAUGUUUUAAAGAGGCACCCACUUGACACAUACGGUUCAUGUUACCUAUCCUAACGGUAUAAGCGGGGAUUUU
This 155-nucleotide non-coding RNA is filed under the name Candidatus Aceula lacicola. Its description in RNAcentral is "6S RNA". It matches the Rfam family "6S / SsrS RNA". From Rfam's summary of the family: E. coli 6S RNA was the first non coding RNA to be sequenced, but its function was unknown until recently. It consists of 184 nucleotides that fold into an extended hairpin structure with a large single-stranded internal bulge. The record is from RNAcentral. Lineage: Bacteria; Pseudomonadati; Candidatus Omnitrophota.